GAUGAACGCUGGCGGCGUGCCUAAUACAUGCAAGUCGAGCGAACAGAUGAGGAGCUUGCUCCUCUGACGUUAGCGGCGGACGGGUGAGUAACACGUGGAUAACCUACCUAUAAGACUGGGAUAACUUCGGGAAACCGGAGCUAAUACCGGAUAAUAUAUUGAACCGCAUGGUUCAAUAGUGAAAGACGGUUUUGCUGUCACUUAUAGAUGGAUCCGCGCCGCAUUAGCUAGUUGGUAAGGUAACGGCUUACCAAGGCAACGAUGCGUAGCCGACCUGAGAGGGUGAUCGGCCCCACUGGAACUGGGCCACGGUCCAGACUCCUACGGGCGGCAGCGGUAGGGAAUCUUCCGCACUGGGCGGAAGCCUGCCGGAGCAACGCCGCGUGAGUGAUGAAGGUCUUCGGAUCGUAAAACUCUGUUAUUAGUGAAGAACAAAUGUGUAAGUAACUAUGCACGUCUUGACGGUACCUAGUCAGAAAGCCACGGCUAACUACGUG
RNAcentral lists this ribosomal RNA (497 nucleotides) under uncultured bacterium. RNAcentral's name for it is "partial 16S ribosomal RNA". It matches the Rfam family "Bacterial small subunit ribosomal RNA", at positions 28 to 507 of the family's 1533-position model. The record is from RNAcentral.